This is a long non-coding RNA of Anguilla anguilla (European eel), 629 nucleotides long. RefSeq lists it as uncharacterized. The transcript is spliced from 3 exons. The record is from RefSeq and is a predicted model, not a curated record. NCBI's taxonomy places the organism in Eukaryota, Metazoa, Chordata, Actinopteri, Anguilliformes, Anguillidae.
AAAAAUCAGACAAUCACAAGACACCCAGGAGCAUCAGUUAUACCCAAUAGCCUAACGCAAACAACAUUUUUGUUACAACAGCAUUUUAUAUGUAUAGUGUUUAUUUAGAGAUUUUUCUGUCUUGUUGUUGUUACAUACAUUGUCGUAUGUAUACUUAUUUAAAUCUUGAAUGUGUUGUCGUGUCACAUGGUUCCGUCUCACCUGUCUUCAGUUAGUUCUAUAAUUAGGGCUAUGCUUUCUCACUGGUAAUCGCUCUGACUAAGGGAUCUUUUCCCGAAAUGUCGGUUGAAUAAACACAGCAAGGAGGAACUUGGGUGUGUGACUUUCAGAUUUUUCAUUGAACGCAAACAAGGCAAAUACAGUUCGUGAAUGGGAGUGGACAUGCAGGUCACAUGACCCCGGCUCACCUCAUCACUGUGUGGGACCCUUUGCAGCGUCAAACAUCUUCUUCCUGCCCUCCAUUCCAGACAUGGCCUCCACGUUCUUCCUCCAGUCACUGUCCUCUACUGGCCUCUUCUAUGAACGACAGAAUGGACGAAUGAUGAAUGGACAGAAGGAGAGAGUGUAAGAAACUCAAGGUGCUUUCUGGUGAAAAGACUCCUCCUCAUCUGCUUCCUGAGCCAGCAGUC